GUGCUUACUUUUGUAGCACAUAUAUGAUAACUGGAAGGAUAUAGGGAUUAGCAUGGUCCGGUCAAGAAUGAUAUGCAAAAUCUGGAAGAGGUCCAUAUUAAA
Molecule: small nuclear RNA, 102 nt
Organism: Ictidomys tridecemlineatus (thirteen-lined ground squirrel)
Lineage: Eukaryota; Metazoa; Chordata; Mammalia; Rodentia; Sciuridae
Source: Ensembl